GUCAUGAGGCUGGGGACCUCCAGUCUUGCACCAGUCCAUGAACAUUCUGUCAUGACCAAUGGAACAAGCUACCCCAGAGAUAACAGCAUAAUCUCCUUCAAGAACCCCUAUUGACAAAGAGGUUUACAACCUUGAUGUUGGAUCAGGACAUCCUAAUGGUGCAGCCGCUAUUAAGGGUUCGUUUGUUCAACAUUUAACAGUCCUACAUGAUCUGAGUUCAGACCGGAGUGAUCCAGGUCGGUUUCUA
RNAcentral lists this non-coding RNA (247 nucleotides) under Phaethon lepturus (White-tailed tropicbird). RNAcentral describes it as "Bacterial large subunit ribosomal RNA". It matches the Rfam family "Bacterial large subunit ribosomal RNA", at positions 2396 to 2640 of the family's 2925-position model. Lineage: Eukaryota; Metazoa; Chordata; Aves; Phaethontiformes; Phaethontidae. The record is from Rfam by way of RNAcentral.